UACGGAGGGUGCAAGCGUUGUCCGGAUUUAUUGGGUUUAAAGGGUGCGUAGGCGGCUUUAUAAGUCAGGGGUGAAAGCCGACAGCUUAACUGUCGAAAUGCCUUUGAUACUGUAGAGCUUGAGUACAGAUGAGGUAGGCGGAAUUGAUGGUGUAGCGGUGAAAUGCAUAGAUACCAUCAGGAACACCGAUUGCGAAGGCAGGUUACUGGGCUGUAACUGACGCUGAGGCACGAAAGUGCGGGGCCCAAACAGG
This 253-nucleotide ribosomal RNA is filed under the name uncultured bacterium. RNAcentral's name for it is "partial 16S ribosomal RNA". It matches the Rfam family "Bacterial small subunit ribosomal RNA", at positions 524 to 776 of the family's 1533-position model. The record is from RNAcentral.